CUCUGCACCUGUGGCUUGGCAAAUUAGAUUACUUACCGGAGCUAUGCAGAAUCUGCACCGUCUUAUAUCUCGUCUUUCCUCGGGUCUGUGAAAAGCUUGCAGCUCAGUUGCACCACCAAGUUGAGAAUAAGAGAGCUGAGGUCGAACCCAAGAAGAUCUCGGAGUAUCAGAUUAUUGAGAUUACGGAGAAUGUUUGUAAUCUGAAGAAGGCGGAGGUGGAUUGGAUUUUGCUGAUUGACAUAGUUGAACAAGGAGAUAAGUUGCAGACGGAGGACUGGAGGAGCAGCUGCAUGGCAGCAUGGAACUGAUGGAAGUUUGGUUGUUCACUUGUUGUCUUGUCGAACAUUGUUUUCGUUUUUAAUUUGUUAUGUUGUUAAGACAAUAUGUGUUGUUGAACUUGCUGUGUAACUAUGUUGAUUGAAAUCAUUGAAUGACUGUUAUUUGCAAGAUGGAUUUAUUUGCAGCCUUGCUGCUAGUGCAGAUUGCACUUUGCAGAAUGGUUUAUUGGUUUUA
Molecule: long non-coding RNA, 513 nt
Organism: Rosa chinensis
Lineage: Eukaryota; Viridiplantae; Streptophyta; Magnoliopsida; Rosales; Rosaceae
Exons: 3
Source: RefSeq, a predicted model, not a curated record